RNAcentral lists this transfer RNA (86 nucleotides) under Candidatus Woesearchaeota archaeon. RNAcentral's name for it is "tRNA-Leu". It matches the Rfam family "tRNA". Rfam says of the family: Transfer RNA (tRNA) molecules are approximately 80 nucleotides in length. Their secondary structure includes four short double-helical elements and three loops (D, anti-codon, and T loops). Lineage: Archaea; Nanobdellati; Candidatus Woesearchaeota. The record is from RNAcentral.
GCGGGGGUGGCAGAGCCUGGUCAAAUGCGCAGGACUUAAGAUCCUGUUCCUUAGUGGAUACGAGGGUUCAAAUCCCUUCCCCCGCA